RNAcentral lists this ribosomal RNA (279 nucleotides) under uncultured bacterium. RNAcentral describes it as "partial 16S ribosomal RNA". It matches the Rfam family "Bacterial small subunit ribosomal RNA", at positions 30 to 306 of the family's 1533-position model. The record is from RNAcentral.
AUUGAACGCUGGCGGCAUGCCUUACACAUGCAAGUCGAACGGCAGCACGGGAGCAAUCCUGGUGGCGAGUGGCGAACGGGUGAGUAAUAUAUCGGAACGUGCCCGGUCGUGGGGGAUAACGUAGCGAAAGCUACGCUAAUACCGCAUACGAUCUACGGAUGAAAGCGGGGGAUCGCAAGACCUCGCGCGAUUGGAGCGGCCGAUAUCAGAUUAGGUAGUUGGUGAGGUAAAGGGACUCACCAAGCCGACGGAUCUGUAGCUGGUCUGAGAGGACGACCA